RNAcentral lists this ribosomal RNA (374 nucleotides) under uncultured bacterium. Its description in RNAcentral is "bacterial SSU rRNA". It matches the Rfam family "Bacterial small subunit ribosomal RNA", at positions 524 to 898 of the family's 1533-position model. The record is from RNAcentral.
UACGUAGGUGGCAAGCGUUAUCCGGAAUUAUUGGGCGUAAAGCGCGCGCAGGCGGUUUCUUAAGUCUGAUGUGAAAGCCCACGGCUCAACCGUGGAGGGUCAUUGGAAACUGGGAAGCUUGAGUGCAGAAGAGGAGAGUGGAAUUCCAUGUGUAGCGGUGAAAUGCGUAGAGAUAUGGAGGAACACCAGUGGCGAAGGCGACUCUCUGGUCUGCAACUGACGCUGAGGCGCGAAAGCGUGGGGAGCGAACAGGAUUAGAUACCCUGGUAGUCCACGCUGUAAACGAUGAGUGCUAGGUGUCGGGGGGUCCAACCCUCGGUGCUGUCGCUAACGCAAUAAGCACUCCGCCUGGGGAGUACGGUCGCAAGACUGAA